Molecule: transfer RNA, 68 nt
Filed under: Pectinaria gouldii
Lineage: Eukaryota; Metazoa; Annelida; Polychaeta; Terebellida; Pectinariidae
Description: tRNA-Ile
Source: RNAcentral
AGUAUUGCGCCGGGUAGAACGGAUGGCUCUGAUGCUGCCAAUUACGAGAGUAAUCCUCUCCAAUACUU